Molecule: non-coding RNA, 3632 nt
Organism: Rattus norvegicus (Norway rat)
Lineage: Eukaryota; Metazoa; Chordata; Mammalia; Rodentia; Muridae
Source: RefSeq, a predicted model, not a curated record
CUGGAUCCACUGGAAGGCGUUGCACAAGGAGUAGCAACUGAACACCAGGACCACGGCCCAACGACGCUUGCUCACCUUGAUCACGCUGUCUUCUUUAACUAAUUCAUUAGGAUGGGUCAAACCACUGGGUUGAGCCAAGGGCUUCAAAACGGUCAAAAGAAGAUGGAGGUUGAGGAGCUUCUGUGAUUGGUUACUUCUCCGCCGAUGAUGAAAUGGGCCAAUUCAAGCCAGAUCAGAUAAUAUUCAAGGCAGGUUUAUUGGGAGGCUGCUCUCAGCUCAUAGAAUACAAGGGAAGGUGCAGAAGACAGCGGGAACCGGGACAGCUACCCAGGAGUUCCCUGUCCAGGGCUCCUCCUGUGUUGGUGGAAUGGCUACACUCAUCUCUGAGAGCUUUCCCUUGAAAGAAGUUCUUCCUAGGAGAGGUUCUCAUUGGCCCAGCCUGUAUCACAUGGCUGCACCCUGACCAGAUAAGUCAAGUCCUCUUGACUGGCAGUCUUUUGCCUAGAAGGAGGCAAUUCUUUUUUUUAAAAGUUUAUUAGCAUAUUAAUUAUACGUAAUGGGUUUUGUUAAGACAUCUUUCUACAUAAUAUAUUUUGAUCAUCAUUACCCACCAGCACUAUCUUUUGUCCCUCCCCUCUCACUAGUCACCUUCCUCUUUUUGAGGAAGUCCCUUUCUACUCUAGGUCUUUGGUGACUGCCUGAGGGCCUUCCCCGUGGAGGGUCAUUGGAGAUGGGGUAGCCCACAGAGGAGAUAAGACAGGGGCAGGAAGAAUGAGUCAGGCCAUGGUGUUCUGGGAACCUGGCAGCCCUGACUGACUAGCAAUCAGUUGCUUCUUUAUUAAUACAGAACGAAGACAGACUAAUGAUUAUCUAAGAAAUAUAGAUUAUGGUUUGAUUUUUUUUAUUGCAUGUCCAAGGUUACAAUUAGAAAAUACGUCAAUGGAGAGACUCUAAAGAGUGUCUCUUCCAAAGCAAACACAUUUAUUGCAUCCCAGCUGCUUUUAGGCGGGCAGUGUGGGCAGUUUGAAAGCACUCCGACAGACAGAAACUAUCCGAGUGGGUCCUUUUAUGACAGCAAAUACUAAUACCUCGCUUCUUUUGCCACGUUUCAGCAUCUACACUAUAAAGUAGGAAAAGUUUAUUUUAGUCAAUCUACCUUAUUUACUGAGUUCUUUUUCCCAGGGGUGUACCCUGUAUGACCCCCUAUCUUUAAACUAUGCUUUCAGAGAGCUCUAAGGGUAUUGUGUAGAUGGAGGUUGUGAAUCUGUAACCAUUCUCCUGACCAGUCAGAGUUUGACCAGUCAGAGUUUGCUAUUGUCUGUUUACCCUGCACCAAUUAUACUGUUAGAGCCUGCUCAGGGGCAGAAACCACAAGACGAUUCCUGGAGUAAUGGCCUCAUCUAGCUGCGUGCUUCAUAGUCUCCAGGGCAUAAAGAAAACCUCCAGAGAGAGCCAGAUAAAGUUAAUUUUAGGAUGUUCCUAAAAGGACCCAGAUAUAACUCUUUCAGGAAAAGACAGAAAAUGAAUCAUAAUGCAGAAAGUCCCCGGGAAUGCAACACACAGAGACUGAAACCCAAAAGUUAGAGACAGAAAGACAGCGACCACGGCAAACUCUCAGCUUUGCUGGAACCCUGUCAAGGAGCUGUGCUGGGUGACCUCAUGACGCACAGUUCCCAGGGGAUAUGGCUGUGUCAAGGUGGCCUAAUGAACUUUGCUGCUUACAGGAGCAUGGGUGGAGGGUUAUUUACAGGAUGGGCAUCUUACCAGUGGCUACACCACUGAAGAAAAUGCUCCCCCCACCAACCAUUAACUAGUUACAGAUCCUGGGGGGAGGUGGGGUUCUUGAGCUCCGUGACAGGGUGUUAACAGGGGCGGAAUCCAAGAGGACAACAUGUUCUGCACAGGAGAUAGCAUUCCCCAAUACUCCACCCCUUCCUCUGGCUUCUUACCUUCUUUCCACUUUCUCUUCCUAAGAUUGAUUGAUUGGUUUAAUGUAUAUGAGUACACUGUAGCUGUCUUCAGACUGUAGCUGUCUUCAGACACACCAUUAGAGGACAUCGGAUCUCCAUUACAGAUGGUUGUGAGCCACCAUGUGGUUGCUGGGAAUUGAACUCAGGACCUCUGGAACAGCAGUCGGUACUCUUAACCGCUGAGCCAUCUCUCCAGCCUCCCCUUCCUCUUCUGCAUUGCUCUCUGAGCCUUGCAGAAGUUGGGAUAGCUUUUCUACUUAGUAUUGAGGAGUCAGUCAACCAAGCACUCUCUCAUCAUCUGCCUAGUUGUGGGGCUCAGUUGUGACCACUGCCCACCGUGUAGUCCUCCCAUGCCAAAGCUGACAUCAGCCCUAUCCCAUUGGCACAAAUGUCAUUUAAUAGGCACUGUGUCAGAAACGUUAUUUCCAAUUAGCGAAACAGCAGUAGUUGCUUCCCCACUAGGGCCCAUGCCAUGCUAGCUCUGGGCUUUUAAACAGGUUUACAGGCAUUGGUUCCCUCGAUUAUUACUGUAACAGACUUGCUACUGUUGUCAUGCUGGGCACAUCUUGCCUGGAAGGUUGGUGAGGUAGCAGGUAGGACUCUAGAUGACAAUCCUUUUCUACCAGCCUGUAUAGCGCUUGCUAGGGCCUGCAGUGAGGAAGCAUCUGACUCAGUUCCAACUUGAUUUCUAUGUCCUGUGACCAGAACACGUGAUCUUCAGCAUUAGUCUGUUCUGGUGGGCACCCAACAUCGGUAUAAUUAAAAAAAGAGUCAUUAUUAAAAGACUUAUUAUUAUUUUAAAUUAUGUGAACAUAUGUGUAUCAGAUUAUAUGCAUAUGGGUAUAUGCAUAUAAAUGUAGGUGCCUGAAGCGUUCAGAAGUGGGGCAUCCGGUCUUCUGUAGGUGAUAUUACAGGUGCAUCUGAGCUGCCUGAUGUGGGUGCUGAGAACCAAAUUCUGGCUGGAUCUCUGUAAGAGAAGAAACCACUGAGCCAUCUCACCAGCCCCCAAAGAGGCAAUUCUUGCAAGGGAAAUUAGAGUGCUAAUUAGGAGGAUGGAGGGUUGAUAAUAAUAAUAAUAAAAAAAGUCACUUUUAUCACUCGCAUUCCAGUUCUGGGUCACAGUUCAGUGACAGACACCCUGUCUGCUGUGCCCAGGUUUUAGCCUUAGCCAGAGUCAGGUCCCUAUUUUUAGCCCUACAUCCUCAGCAGUCAGCCCUUCUUAGUCAGUCAUAGGACAGAUUCCAGAUGUUCAUACUGAACAAAGCAAAUCUUGAGAAUGUAAGAACCGAUCGAUUCUUCGCACUCAUCAGUCUGAAUAAUUCAUCAAGUGUGCAAGUGCAUAGUAAAUGCCUAUUCAGUUAGGGGAAUGACAGUGAACAGAGAGAGUCUCCAUCCACCCCUGCCUGGAGGGUGAUGUAUAACCGUAUAACCCGUGUAGACAGAUGUGGUUUUGCAAUGUUAUGGAUGGAUUUUGGUUUUUUAAGAGUCUCACUAUGUAGUCCUGGCUAGCCUGGAACUCAGUAAAUAGACCAGGCUGGCCCCAAACUCAGAGAUCCACCUGUGUCUGCCUCCCAAGUGCUGGGUUAAAGGCAUGUGCCAUUAUGCCCUCCCACCAUUUCCACAAAGAGAAAGAAGGAAGGAAAGAAAGGUAAAAAGGAAGGA